Molecule: non-coding RNA, 73 nt
Organism: Panonychus citri (citrus red mite)
Lineage: Eukaryota; Metazoa; Arthropoda; Arachnida; Trombidiformes; Tetranychidae
Source: the annotation of a RefSeq genome assembly
GGUCGUAUGGCCCAACGGAUAAGGCGUCUGACUUCGAAUCAGAAGAUUGCAGGUUCGAAUCCUGCUACGAUCG